CCUACGGGAGGCAGCAGUCGAGAAUCAUUCACAAUGGGGGAAACCCUGAUGGUGCGACGCCGCGUGGGGGAAUGAAGGUCUUCGGAUUGUAAACCCCUGUCAUGUGGGAGCAAAUUAAAAAGAUAGUACCACACGAGGAAGAGACGGCUAACUCUGUGCCAGCAGCCGCGGUAAUACAGAGGUCUCAAGCGUUGUUCGGAAUCACUGGGCGUAAAGCGUGCGUAGGCUGUUUCGUAAGUCGUGUGUGAAAGGCGCGGGCUCAACCCGCGGACGGCACAUGAUACUGCGAGACUAGAGUAAUGGAGGGGGAACCGGAAUUCUCGGUGUAGCAGCGAAAUGCGUAGAUAUCGAGAGGAACACUCGUGGCGAAGGCGGGUUCCUGGACAUUAACUGACGCUGAGGCACGAAGGCCAGGGGAGCGAAAGGGAUUAGAUACCCUUGUAGUC
RNAcentral lists this ribosomal RNA (446 nucleotides) under uncultured bacterium. RNAcentral describes it as "partial 16S ribosomal RNA". It matches the Rfam family "Bacterial small subunit ribosomal RNA", at positions 338 to 795 of the family's 1533-position model. The record is from RNAcentral.